CCUACGGGUGGCAGCAGUGAGGAAUAUUGGUCAAUGGGCGGGAGCCUGAACCAGCCAAGCCGCGUGAGGGAAGAAGGUCCAGCGUAUCGUAAACCUCUUUUGUCAGGGAACAAAGGCGGGGACUAGUCCCCGGAUGAGUGUACCUUACGAACAAGCAUCGGCUAACUCCGUGCCAGCAGCCGCGGUACUACGGGGGAUGCGAGGGUUAUCCGGAUUUAUUGGGUUAAAAGGGUGCGCAGGCGGCCUGUUAAGUCAGCGGGAAAAGCCCGGGGCUCAACCCCGGCGAGCCGUUGAAACUGGCGGGCUGGAGUGGGAGAGAGGUACGCGGAAUGCGCGGUGUAGCGGUGAAAUGCUUAGAUAUCGCGCAGAACCCCGAUGGCGAAGGCAGCGUACCGGAUCCAAACUGACGCUGAGGCACGAAAGCGUGGGUAUCGAACAGGAUUAGAUACCCUGGUAGUC
This 459-nucleotide ribosomal RNA is filed under the name uncultured bacterium. RNAcentral describes it as "partial 16S ribosomal RNA". It matches the Rfam family "Bacterial small subunit ribosomal RNA", at positions 338 to 795 of the family's 1533-position model. The record is from RNAcentral.